UGGGGAAUUUUGGACAAUGGGCGAAAGCCUGAUCCAGCCAUGCCGCGUGAGUGAAGAAGGCCUUCGGGUUGUAAAGCUCUUUUAGUCGGAAAGAAAGAGUUGCAAUGAAUAAUUGUGAUUUAUGACGGUACCGACAGAAAAAGCACCGGCUAACUACGUGCCAGCAGCCGCGGUAAUACGUAGGGAGCAAGCGUUGUUCGGAUUUACUGGGCGUAAAGGGCGCGUAGGCGGCGCGGUAAGUCACUUGUGAAAUCUCUGAGCUUAACUCAGAACGGCCAAGUGAUACUGCUGUGCUAGAGUGCGGAAGAGGCAACCGGAAUUCUUGGUGUAGCGGUGAGAUGCGUAGAUAUCAAGAGGAACACCUGAGGCGAAGGCGGGUUGCUGGGCCGACACUGACGCUGAUGCGCGAAAGCCAGGGGAGCAAACG
RNAcentral lists this ribosomal RNA (427 nucleotides) under uncultured bacterium. RNAcentral's name for it is "bacterial SSU rRNA". It matches the Rfam family "Bacterial small subunit ribosomal RNA", at positions 355 to 774 of the family's 1533-position model. The record is from RNAcentral.